Molecule: ribosomal RNA, 349 nt
Filed under: Coppinsiella ulcerosa
Lineage: Eukaryota; Fungi; Ascomycota; Lecanoromycetes; Teloschistales; Teloschistaceae
Description: SSU rRNA
Rfam family: Bacterial small subunit ribosomal RNA
Source: RNAcentral
UGUAUAGCAAUCGCUAUUUGCACUAAAAGUUUUUAGUGUAAAAUCGACUUUGUCGAAUAAAAUUCUGGAUAGAAUUAUGAUAAUGACAUUACCUAUCCAUAAGUCUUGACCAAAUUACGUGCCAGCAGUCGCGGUAAUACGUAGAAGACAAGUGUUAUUCAUCUUUAAUAGGUUUAAAGGGUACUUAGACGGUAAACAAAGCCUUCAAAAGGGACUAGUUUGCUAGAGUUUUAUGUGAAGGAGUUUUAAAGUACUACUGGUGUAGAGAUGAAAUUCAGUUAUACCUUACAUGGCACAGGUUAAGGCGAAAGCAUCUUCUUAUGUAAAAACUGACGUUGAAGGACGAAGG